RNAcentral lists this ribosomal RNA (324 nucleotides) under uncultured bacterium. Its description in RNAcentral is "bacterial SSU rRNA". It matches the Rfam family "Bacterial small subunit ribosomal RNA", at positions 28 to 353 of the family's 1533-position model. The record is from RNAcentral.
GACGAACGCUGGCGGCGUGCUUAACACAUGCAAGUCGAGCGGUAAGGCCCUUUCGGGGGUACACGAGCGGCGAACGGGUGAGUAACACGUGGGUGACCUGCCCUCAGCUCUGGGAUAAGCCUGGGAAACCGGGUCUAAUACUGGAUAUGACUCCAUGACGCAUGUUGUGGGGUGGAAAGCCUUGUGCGGCUGAGGAUGGGCCCGCGGCCUAUCAGCCUGUUGGUGGGGUGANGGCCUACCAAGGCGACGACGGGUAGCCGGCCUGAGAGGGCGACCGGCCACACUGGGACUGAGACACGGCCCAGACUCCUACGGGAGGCAGCA